CUCCAAUGCUGGGCUCCAACAUCUUGAAAAUGUAAUGGCCGCUAUACACAUCCUUCUGGUCAAUCAACUUCAUGCUGAAUUAGGGCAAAUCUUCUGCCAAUUUAUCACCCAGUUAACGUGGCCGCUUAUACAUUGCAUUCUUUGACGAGUAUUAAGCUACCUUUUCCCCCAGCUAAACAGGAUUAACACGACAUGAUUAUAGUGUGCAGGUAUUCUUUAUAUUGCCAGCUUUGUUGGACGUAUAAAUACAACUUUAACACGGCGAAUCAUUGGCGAAUAAACGUACAACUAUACAGUUUUUUUCCCCGUGUCUGGCAAGGACAAUGCCUGGAAUGGCUGAAUAUAUUCAUGCUCGCUCUUUCAAAACAACUAUUUUAAAUAUUUUUGCCACAUGGGACCAACCAAACAAUGUACUGUAAGUAUGUAUAUUGUCUCCCUGUAAAUCCCGCAACGAC
This is a non-coding RNA of Paramuricea clavata, 455 nucleotides long. The record is from the annotation of a GenBank genome assembly. Lineage: Eukaryota; Metazoa; Cnidaria; Anthozoa; Malacalcyonacea; Plexauridae.